This is a long non-coding RNA of Bombus terrestris (buff-tailed bumblebee), 2236 nucleotides long. RefSeq lists it as uncharacterized. The transcript has 3 exons. NCBI's taxonomy places the organism in Eukaryota, Metazoa, Arthropoda, Insecta, Hymenoptera, Apidae. The record is from RefSeq and is a predicted model, not a curated record.
CUUAUCGAAUUUCGUAUAAUCAUUAAUGAAUAUAAACUCCAGUUGCUGAAAGAAUAUUCCUGGCAUUAACGAUUACGUAUCUCGGCAUUUCUGGAUGUGACCAGUCAUAAGUCAGUUGUGUUGUCAACAAAGAAACAAGGAACAUAAGUAGUUUAUUCUUUCGUUCCGGUCAAUAAACAAUCUUUGAUUUGUGGAAGUUAAAAUUUUCGAGAGUGGCCGCAAUGAAGGUUCGUUUACUCUUAUACCAACGAAGCAAAUAAUUCCGAACAAAUUUGUCAGACGGCACAGAAGUAGCAUCGACUAUGUGAAACGAAUAUGAAAACUGAUUUGCGUCUUCUAUUGUUUCGUUGCACGUGCGCAAGAGUAAUCGAGCAGGAAGUGUACAUCGAUCGUAUUUUUGACCUGUAUUAUCUUGCAAAUCCAAUUUAUUUCGGCAACUACAUGAAAUUAUUCAUGUAGUUGUUAUGUAAAAACAUAUAUAAUAAGAAGAUAAUUUAUCAUUCAAUUGAUGAAUAUAAUAUGAACAUAUAUAUAUAUAUUCAUACAGUCAAAAUAUCAUGAAAGUAUUAUUUCUUUUCUAUACUUAUGGACGUUAUAUCGUACAUAUGAUUCAGUACGUCUCGGCCUAUAGGCGAUGUAGUUAAACCGUAAACGAUAGAGGACAGAAACUGAAUAGGUGUGAAACUAAAUAAGAAACUGAAUUGAUGAAGAAAUAGAAAAGAAGAGGUGUAAAAAAUAUUCCUGGUCAAGGAACUUUUAUUUUUUCUUUCUUUUCUGUGGCAUAUGUAUUGUGAGGCAAAGGUACGUCCACGCGUUCUCAAUUGCUUGCAUCGUUGCCACGUCCACAUUACAAUAUGAGCCCAAAUUGCAAAACUAAAAACUAGAUGUGUAUCUAAAAUAGUUUUUGUUACCAAUUUUACUAUUUUAAAUGUAUUUGAUCUAUGUGAAUUAAAAUAUGCUACUAGUAUAGUUGAGUAAGUUGGUAAAAAAUGUAAAUGAUUCUAUUUUAUAAUUUUUAUUUUAAACCUGAAGAGUUGUUACAGGUAGAGAUAUCACUAUUUACGCUUAAACGUACCGAGGAAUCAUAUAACAGGCUCAAGUUUAUGCAGCUAUACAUAUAUACCAAUGAAUAACCUUGGAGCUCCAAUCAACUUGCUUACUUCUACAAAGCAAGAAAUUCAAUGAUUUUCAAAAACGAAUACCAUCGAUUGAAAGUCCUCAAAUUUUGAUAACGCGAUAUCAUAAUUUAGAUAAUAUUCAAAGCUCGCACCAUGAAUACAUAUGAAUGAUGUAUUUUAGGUAAUAAUGAUGUAUAUGACGCGUAACCGUAUAUAGAUAGGAAAACAUUCACUAUUCUGCGCCAUGAGCGAUCAUUUCAAAUCUACGGAAAUUCGUGGGUGGAUGGUUAUAUACGCUAAACAGAUUGCCGGUUUAUUUAAACGACGGUGUGUAACGAAAUACGAUGAUGUGCUUGGGAUGAUUCCAAUUUACCAACCUAGUUUUUUCCCUCGUGUAUCCAAGUGGCGCGCUUUUUUUUCAAGAAAUAAACUGGGUCACACGAUGGCAGCAAAGUGUGCGUAUACACGUGUCCAUCGACGAAGAGAAUCGGACGAGUGAACAAGCACGAAAGCAACGUGCUAGAAUAUAAGUUGCAAAGGUGGCGGAUGUAGACGCAUACAAGCAGUGGUAGAGAGGUAUAACGACCUUUGCGGCUCACAGUGAACGUGCGGAAAUCAUUUGUAUAAAAUUUCUAAUCGCAAAGUUCGCGCUAUUGUUAGUCGGUACGCGACGCACGAUCAGGAAAUAAAAUGGCAACAGGAGGAGCGUGAGAACUCACGUAGAGAGAAACGAUUUGUAGGUGGAAAGAACUCCCACAACGUUUCAGCAAUUACAUAUCUCGGAUAAGUUGCAUAGUUGCAUGCAUGUUUCAUGUUGCUUAAUAACAAAGAGUGACGAGUGUUUUAUAGCACAAUCAAACCGGAAACUCGGCUAGCAAUUAAUUUCACCGAACUGCUGAUACGACACUAGCAAGAACGAGCAUGUCGAGACUAGAGGACCAGAAAAGCGAAGUGGAAGAAGGGUACCGUUUAGUAAGGGAGUAAUUAGCGAGUCCCUAGGUAGGUUCUCGUGCAACUUACUGUGGAAAUUCUACGGCUUGUUAAAUGAUGUAGUAGACAGGGUCCAAAAUAUUUUUGUGAAUAUUUUAAGAGUAACAAAAAAACUCGUAGAAACAUGA